RNAcentral lists this ribosomal RNA (164 nucleotides) under uncultured bacterium. Its description in RNAcentral is "partial 16S rRNA". It matches the Rfam family "Bacterial small subunit ribosomal RNA", at positions 355 to 511 of the family's 1533-position model. The record is from RNAcentral.
UAGGGAAUCUUCGGCAAUGGGGCAACCCUGACCGAGCAACGCCGCGUGAGUGAAGAAGGUUUUCGGAUCGUAAAGCUCUGUUGUAAGAGAAGAACGUGUGUGAGAGUGGAAAGUUCACACAGUGACGGUAACUUACCAGAAAGGGACGGCUAACUACGUGCCCG